GUCAACUCCACUAACUCAAUAAACCGAGAGGACAACUAAUGCUAACUCGCCCAUCUUGCGGUGAAAUGUAAUAAGCAGAGCUACCUAAAAUAGCCAGCACUCCCUAAAUGAUAGGCAAAAACAAGGAUUAGAUACCCUUCUAUUUAUCAUCUAUCAGUUGUUCUAAAAGACCACUACUCACAAAGUAGAAAUUUAACCAUUAUGGCGGUAAACUUUAAAAUCAGGGGAACUUACCACACAAAUGAUAACCACCAAGGUUAAUGAAUUACAAGUAAAUCUUGUAUGCCGUUGUCGUCAGACGUAAUAAAAUAUUAUCUCAAUAGUAACUACUUGAAAAAGACAAAUCUAGGUGCAGACUAUCUUGUAAUGUAGGCGAGUUACAAUUAAAAUUUAUAGCAAAAGAUGCAUCUUAACGUGCCCAGAAGCAGGACUUGAUAGUAAUGAAUAAUAAUUUUACUUCCUGAAUAAACCAAAGCUUGCGCACAA
RNAcentral lists this ribosomal RNA (486 nucleotides) under Papuina mendana. Its description in RNAcentral is "partial 12S ribosomal RNA". Lineage: Eukaryota; Metazoa; Mollusca; Gastropoda; Stylommatophora; Camaenidae. The record is from RNAcentral.